Molecule: long non-coding RNA, 627 nt
Organism: Humulus lupulus (European hop)
Lineage: Eukaryota; Viridiplantae; Streptophyta; Magnoliopsida; Rosales; Cannabaceae
Exons: 4
Source: RefSeq, a predicted model, not a curated record
CUCUCAUUCACUCAUCUGAUUUUUGAAGACCUCUCAAAGUGUUCUCUCCAUUUUUCAAGCCCAAGAACACCAAGGAAACUUUGAGGCUAAGUCUUGGUCUAGGAAGUAUUUUCCCUAAGUUUGUUAGGGUUUUUGAAAGGUUUUGGAGGAGCCAAAGCUAAUAGGAAGGUCCAAACCUUAAGCAAGAACACCAAAGAGUAUUGGCUAAGCGUAACUGGACUGAACGUUGGAGGGUGAAAACCUGCUGAGCGCUAAGGACUCCAAGAAAGGGCAUGGGCAGGGCAGAGCAGUGAGCGCUGGAGUCUUCCUUGCAAAUGUACAUGUGGACCGACCUUUUGGGAAGCCUUUUUAUUUUUGGAAAUGUUGUGUAAUUUUCCUAAACUAGGCUCACUCUAAUCUUUGUAAAACAUGUUUGUAACUAAAUGUUAAGUAUGGCCAUACGACUUUUUAAAAAGUUUUUUUUCUAUGGGUUUUUGAGACAUUUUGUUAAAUGAAAACAUUUAUAUUUCCGCAUUAUCGAGUCUUGAAAAUCCGAGUCGUUACAAUGGAGGCGCGCCGCGAACCUCAGGGCUAAGUCGCGACCCGCCUAGGCAGCCUUAACCAAAUUAGGGUUUUGGGCUCGGUAAU